This 1319-nucleotide ribosomal RNA is filed under the name Propionicimonas paludicola. RNAcentral describes it as "bacterial SSU rRNA". It matches the Rfam family "Bacterial small subunit ribosomal RNA", at positions 74 to 1409 of the family's 1533-position model. Lineage: Bacteria; Bacillati; Actinomycetota; Actinomycetes; Propionibacteriales; Nocardioidaceae. The record is from RNAcentral.
CGGAGCUUGCUCCGCGGAUCAGUGGCGAACGGGUGAGUAACACGUGAGCAACCUACCCCUGACUCUGGGAUAACAGUUGGAAACAGCUGCUAAUACCGGAUACGACCUCAGCAGGCAUCUGCCGAGGUGGAAAGCUCCGACGGUCAUGGAUGGGCUCGCGGCCUAUCAGCUUGUUGGUGAGGUAACGGCUCACCAAGGCGACGACGGGUAGCCGGCCUGAGAGGGCGACCGGCCACACUGGGACUGAGAUACGGCCCAGACUCCUACGGGAGGCAGCAGUGGGGAAUAUUGCACAAUGGGCGCAAGCCUGAUGCAGCAACGCCGCGUGCGGGAUGACGGCCUUCGGGUUGUAAACCGCUUUCAGCAGGGACGAAGCUAACGUGACGGUACCUGCAGAAGAAGCACCGGCUAACUACGUGCCAGCAGCCGCGGUGAUACGUAGGGUGCGAGCGUUGUCCGGAUUUAUUGGGCGUAAAGAGCUUGUAGGCGGUUUGUUGCGUCGGAAGUGAAAACUCAGAGCUUAACUCUGAGCCUGCUUUCGAUACGGGCAGACUUGAGGGAUGUAGGGGAGAACGGAAUUCCUGGUGGAGCGGUGGAAUGCGCAGAUAUCAGGAGGAACACCAGUGGCGAAGGCGGUUCUCUGGACAUUUCCUGACGCUGAGAAGCGAAAGCGUGGGGAGCAAACAGGCUUAGAUACCCUGGUAGUCCACGCCGUAAACGGUGGGCACUAGGUGUGGGACCCUUCCACGGGUUCCGUGCCGUAGCUACGCAUUAAGUGCCCCGCCUGGGGAGUACGGCCGCAAGGCUAAAACUCAAAGGAAUUGACGGGGGCCCGCACAAGCGGCGGAGCAUGCGGAUUAAUUCGAUGCAACGCGAAGAACCUUACCUGGGUUUGACAUAUACCGGAAACAUCUGGAGACAGGUGCCCCGCAAGGUCGGUAUACAGGUGGUGCAUGGCUGUCGUCAGCUCGUGUCGUGAGAUGUUGGGUUAAGUCCCGCAACGAGCGCAACCCUCGUUCUAUGUUGCCAGCGGAUAAUGCCGGGAACUCAUAGAAGACUGCCGGGGUCAACUCGGAGGAAGGUGGGGAUGACGUCAAGUCAUCAUGCCCCUUAUGUCCAGGGCUUCACGCAUGCUACAAUGGCUGGUACAAAGGGCUGCGAUAUCGCAAGAUGGAGCGAAUCCCAUAAAGCCAGUCUCAGUUCGGAUUGGGGUCUGCAACUCGACCCCAUGAAGUCGGAGUCGCUAGUAAUCGCAGAUCAGCAACGCUGCGGUGAAUACGUUCCCGGGCCUUGUACACACCGCCCGUCAAGUCAUGAAA